RNAcentral lists this long non-coding RNA (37205 nucleotides) under Citrus x clementina. Its description in RNAcentral is "Citrus clementina (C. clementina) long non-coding RNA (CCLE_LNC000724)". The record is from RNAcentral. Lineage: Eukaryota; Viridiplantae; Streptophyta; Magnoliopsida; Sapindales; Rutaceae.
AGUAGACCCCUUGAAUGUCUUUUAUAUUUUCAUGAGGGCAAGAAAGAGCUCAUAAGCAUUCGACUCAAGAUAUUUUAAUAGAAAAUUAGUGUGUUAUGGAAUGGUUUUGACUGUUGGUCUUAUGUAAAUGUUGAGCUUUUAAAAGUCCAUCAUUUCACCUCCUUUCCAUUUUUCCUGAAAUGAAGUGAAGUGAUCUGUGUGUAUAAUCUAACUUCUUUACUGUUUGCUUUUUAUUCUUGGAAAAAUGGAAGAAAUGGAUCAAAUACAAGAGGGUACUUUGUGUGGUCCUUCUUGGACGUGUUCGAGUUGUUGGAUGGCUAUAAAUCAAGUUAUGGCCUGUACUAUGUUGACCGACAUGAUCCGGAUUUGAAGAGAUACCCUAAGCUCUCGGCACAUUGGUAUUCACAGUUCUUGAAGGGGAGAAGCGUGAGAUCAGAUGAAGUCUUCUCACUCGAGAAAAAUAUUUCAAGUCUUUCUUAUGAUCUUGACUCUCAGUAGGCUAAGAUCUAUGCAAAUAAAGGAUAUUCUACGAUUACAGUAUCAUGAUUAAUAAAGUUCAUAAGAUUUCUUUGUAAUUAUCUAUUGAUUUCUUCGGGAACAACGUACAUUUUUCUGCUGAAAAUAAUAAUAAUUAUUUUUAAAAUUUUGUUUUCUAGUUUUUGUACAAGAAAACUCCUGGGAAUGCUCUCAAUAUUCAGCUUUCUACGCCAAACAUUCAGGCACAAAACAGAAAUUUAUAAGGGGAUACAAGUACCAUUGCUCCAUUACAUAACUGACAAAAAGUUCAGUUCGGAUUAAUUUUUCUACUGCUAGAGAAGGAAAACCGAUUAAUUACAUGCAUUGCCAGCUAGAAAUUAACUUUGUAUCAGCUAUCUUAUCUCUGUUAGAAGAAUUUUGAACAUGCAACUCAAUGAGGCAUUUAAAAAAUUCGGGGAUGGCAGUAAUUAACAGCUCUAAUUUGUAUAAUUAUGGAAAUACUUAAAUUAAUAAAACUAGAAAAACGUUUAUCUCCAUGUGGUAUUUUGAUUAUCAAGUAGUUGUUUAAUUUAGUUUCUUUGGCAUUGUAUAAUAUUUAUUCACUUUUAUUUCAAACAAAAAUUUUUAAUUCCAAGCAGAGAUCACAAAUGGGCUGGGCAAAGACCAAGCCCAAACCCUUAAAAACCAUGUCAAAAUUUGGACGGGACGGGUCGGGCCUGGGCUUCCCAAAGAACCGAAACUCAAUCGAAAAAGUAGCUUAUGUAUAAAGGCUACAGGGGCAAAGCGAAUAUAAACAAAUAUGAGACGCAAUUAUGAUUUAUGAACAUUUGAAAAAAGUUAUAAACUUAACAAAUGUUUUAAGACAUCAACACAUUCAGUCAGAUUAAUUCAUUCAACGACUUUGUUCAAUGCUUAGACCUUAUCAUAAGAGUUUUCAUAAAUAAACCUUCAACUACAGAUAACCACGGUCUGUGAGUAGGGAUGGCAAAAUCCCGGACCGGGUCCGGGUAUUGCAAUGACCGAAUUCUGUCCGGAUGCAACAAGUCCGGAUUUAGGCCAGAUUUUAAUCCGGGUACCCAAAUUUUAUAUUUUUUAAUAUUAUAUGUGUAUAUAUUUUAUAUUUUUUGGUAAUUUUAUAAGUUUUAAAUUUAUUUCAAUAAAAUUUGACAUGAAAAUAUAAUUUUUAAGUAUUUAAAAUUUUAUAUAUGUAUAAUAAAUGAGUCAAAUAAAUAUAAAUAUUUAAAAUAAUAUAUAUUUUAUAAUUUUUUUUAAAAAAUCCGGGUUCCGGGUUUAUCAAGUGAUGCCCAAGACCGACCCGGCUUCAUACCCAGGCCGGGUAAUACCUGGCCCACAAUGCUCGGGUACGGUCCGGGUCCGGACCGGACGGGUAUUUUUGCCACCUCAAUCUGUGAGGGAUUUAAUCGAUUAAUUUUUAAAACGUUUGGAUUAUUUGGUUUUUUCCCCAAACAAGAAGGAGUGCAAUGCAAAUUGGAGGGAAAAAAAAAACAUAAAACCCCAACACGGUCUAGCUCUGCAACACCAUCACUCCUCUUCUUCGCAAACACUUCGACUCGAACGCAGAUCCGAGAGACCGAGACCUCCGUUACGUGUUCUUAAGAAGGCAUAUGUUGACAGCAUGAUUAAAAUGCUACACGUAGGACCCCGAAACUUGUUCAGUGGUAUGUAAACUGUUGAAAGAGGAGGAUAAUGAAGCAUGGGGUGUUGAGCCAUUUGACUCAGACGAUGCUGAUGCCAACCGCAGUGAGUCUUGUGCGCAAAGGCAUUGUGCAGGCGACCGAUAUUAAAUUUCCUCUGGCCUUCCGAGCAAAGUCAUUUUCUCUAGCGAUUGUGUCAGAUGCUGUGGAUUACUUGUCUCCGAAGUUACCUUAACAGAACUCUUCCAGAAUUGGCUAGGGUAUCUGCUGAUGGUGUAGUAAUAUUUGCUGGUAAAUCCCUCGUUUAGCUUUUUUAAAAUAUGUGUAUGAAACUAUUGAUAUUCUUAUGUUCUUUUGAUAUAUCGUUUUGUUGUGUAGGUUAUCCACAUCAGCAAAGAGCUAAAGUUUCUGAACUAUCCAAAUUUGGUCGCCCUGUGAGUUAUUACUCGUUGCAGGAUUUCAAUAUGGUCUUAGUCCUCGUAGGGCUUCUCGUGUUCCUAUAUAUUGGUUGGAUUUGAACUAGACCUAUGACUUUUACAAUUUCAUUUGAAUGCUGUCUUUGUUACUUCGGAUUGAUCACGUGCUAGCAUUUAAUUUGUUGAGAAACACAAUUCAUACAUUUUGGAUGCUUGAUUGGUCAAAAUACGACUGAUAUCUUUGCUCACUCGUUUUAUAUGGGAUUAUUUUCGAUUCUUUUUGGGUUCAAAAUAUUUUGGUAAGUUUUGGCCGUACAGGCACAGUAAUUCAAGUUCUUUCUUUUCAUUGAAGAAAGUUGGGUCCAUGAAACGUUACUUUUCUGUAGGCCAAAUUGCGGAGUUCAACUUGGUGGAUACGGUAUUUUCUUCAGAAUAGCUUGGAAGAGAAUGAAGUAGCCGCGAAGAAGUUUGAACAGGCUUCAGUUAAGAGAUCUUAUAAGCCGGCUUGUCAAGUUUUCCACUUGAAGUCAUAUCACUGAGAAUCUCAGCAACAUAUACUCUCUUAUUGAAAUUACACAUUUGAAAACCAUGCUAGCAAGCAUAUACCCGAAGGGCAAGUAAUGUUGUGUACCAAUCGUGAGACAUUAAAUCCUUCAUCCAAAUAUUUAUUAGGGGAGUGAGUUCACAAGAAAUGCCUCCCCGCCUUUAUGUGUUCUUUAGAUUUUGGUUUGCUUCUAAUCUUCCUGCUUGUUAGUAUGCCCAGACCCAUAUUUGUUUUGAUAAUUAUAUGACUACUAAUUACUAUUAAUUUUUUCAUUUUAAUGGUAAAAAAUAUCAGAGAAACCAUGUCUCGGUGUAAUUUGCAAUUCUAAGUGUCAUCUUCUGUAUGUUUUUGCUUAGAAACGAGGUCAGUUGAGCCUUUGAGGGCUCUGGAUCUUGGGUCACUGUAGAACUUGACGAGUUGAGUUCAGUUGUCUUAAGUUGUCUGGAAGAUUAGGCUUUUAAUUGAGCUGAGCUUUUGUUUUGGCAAACAGUUCUAAUGGAGUGUAAUGAACUUCAACACGCUAUCGUAGUAUAGUAUACUUUUUCAAUAAGCCUGAGCUCUCUCCCCGAAGGACAGCUUAGGCAUUGUCUUUCCUUCGUCUUACAAACAAAAAAGAACGGAUCGGGUCCAACAAUAACUAUUUUGUUGUACCCAUCGCAAUCGAGGGACAACGACAAUACAUACACUCAAGUCAAAAAAAGAAGGGGCCAAUAAAAUCGAUUUUUUUAAUUCUUUACUUGAAAAGGUCAAAAGAAGACGACAGGCUCGCUAGCUAGCUAGUCGUAAAAUUCAUACACUCAGGACAACGACAAUACAUACACUCAAGUCAAAAAAAAAAGAAGGGCCCAAUAAAAUCGGUUUUCUUAAUUUUUUACUUGAAAAGGUCAAAAGAAGUAGGAUUGGCAGAAAAAUUCGAACCGGCCCGAUCCAGUCCAGGCCCGCGGGCUUUAAACUCAGUCCGUGGCUUUAAAUGAUAGAUAAAGACCUCUAAUUUGUAAAGUCCAUAUGCAAUGGGCUUAGACAAGGGCUUUCUUUAAAAGCCCAGGCUUAAGCCCAAACUUUAUAAUAAAUAAUAGGAAAAAUGACAAACACACUCCCAACGUUUAGACAAAGGGACAAAAACUCUCCUAACGUUUCAAAAGAAAUAUUUACAUCCUCAUUCACUAACGGAAACAGUAACUUUUAACAAAAAUUAUCAUUAUACCCUUCUAGCAUAUAAAAAAAAAUUAUUGAUUAUCCAAUUUGUCCAUAUAUUAUUAAUAAAAUUAUAAAUAUAUCCUCAUUACCCAAUUCCUCUAUUUAAAUUUUUAUCAAAUUUUCUCUUCAAGUCAAAUAAAUUUAAUUCAUUACUCAAGAAUAAAAAUAAAUAAAAUUGGUUAUUAAUGUUAACUUGUAUUUCAAUUAAUACCAUAAUAAAUAACAUAAAAAAUUAGUUAUAAAUAUACAAGUUUAAAUGAUAACAUGUGGAAAAUUGUUAAAUAUACAAGUUUAAAAUUUAAAUAAAAUUUUAUAGUAUUAAUAUUACAAGUUAAACUUGUAUAUAUAUUUUUUAUAUGCUAGAGGAGUAUAACGGUAAUUUUCCUUAAAAAUUACUGUUUUCGUUAGUGAAUGAGGGUGUAAAUAUCUUUUUAAAAACGUUAGGGUUUUUUGUCACUUUGUCUAAACAUUGGGGGGUGUGUUUGUCAUUUUUCCUAAAUAAUAUAUAUAUAUUUUAAAGAAAAAUCUUUAUAAUAUAUCAUAAAAUUCAAAUUAAAAAAAGCUGAAAAAAUAAAAAAUAAAAACGAAAAAGAAAAAGUGAAUCAAACAAAACAAUUCGUUAGUUUUGAACAAAACCCAAACUCUCAAAGUCAAAAUCCCUAAUUCCCUCGUUUUCUCCCUCCCUCACUCACCGUCACCUCAACUUCUCACUGUUCUCGCCGCCGGCAGUCAACGGCGGGGCCAACAGCAUCCAGCAGUGAGCGACGAGCAUCCACCACCAGCACUCCAGCAGCCACCACUCAGCCAGCAGCAGCGGCGAGCAUCUCCCGCCAUCCCGCGCAACCCACCGUCCAGCUCCAGCCACCCAGCAUCUCUCGCGCGACGCAGCAGCAACCCCCACCCACCAGCACAGCCGCGCGACGCUGCAGCAAGCACUUGAACUCGAGCGAGGCAGCAGCAGCGAUUUGCAGUCUGUAGUACGCGAAUUCAAACGACACAAGUAGCGAGGUAGCAAACCAUCCAACUCCGGUCCGGUACUCCUCCUCAAUAGCUUCAAACUUUUUUUAUUGUAUUAUCAAUACAAUAUUAUGUAAUAUGAGGACAUCACCAGAAUGACGAGUUUAAGAACACGGGUUUGUUUAUUUUUCUGUUAGAAUUUUGUUUGGCUUUAAAUUUUUAGCUUUUGGUGGUUAUGUCUUUAGAAUUUUCUUGUCUCUGAAAACCUAAGUAGCCUGUGCUUCUUUAUGUACAGGGAGAGAAAGAAAAAAAGAAAGGAAAAAAGGGAUGGGGGGUACAAGUAAAGAUCUUUUGCACUUAGAGCACAAGGAUUCUUCGGCUUCAGCUAUAGGUACACGUUUGUACUCUCUUUUCCUAUAUAUGUGUAUCUUGCAAGCUCUGUUGUUCAACGGUUGUGUUUAUAUUUGCAGAAUCUGCACUUCUUGUUUGUAGCAAGAAAGACACGAACGCUGAGUUAAAGAAACCAAACCCCGGUAAAAUGCCCAGCUACGGACCAGUUCCUAGAAGCCAAGGUAUUCUGAAUUUCUAUGUGUUCUGGAAGUACUCUCCCUACAAAAUACUGGCUUCUGGUUGAUAAUUUGUCAUGGGUGUUGCUUCUCUGUGAAAUUGGUUCAUGUGCACUCUGUUUCCGUAGUUAGAUUAUUGCAAAGAUCUUGUUUGAGUGAUCAAUUAUGAAAUUCUCAAAGGAGAAAGAAGUUUCAAAAUUAUUGUUCUGUAAAUUGUUGUAUUAAAGAGUUUCAGAAACCCUUAUUAGAGAAUCUUUUUGUUUCCAAAGUUGUUUCUGGAACUUGGAAUAUCUUUAUCAAAGUUGUUUCUAGAGCUUGGAAUAUCUUUAUCAAGUUUAUGUCAAGGAAUUUUCUCAGGUAUGUAGAGUCAUAUACAUUUUGUAGGUAUUUGAUAGUGUCCGAUAAUCUGUCUCUCUCAUUUUUCAGUUUUGGGAAAAGUUAAAGGUUUUUUGGGAGUCAUAUCAGAGGCUAAUAAAAGGCUCCAACUUGAUGCAAAGGUUUGUCAGCUGAUCUUAUUACUAAAUCCAUACCAUUUAUCUUGAUCCAAACCUUUCUCUCUUAAUCACUAACGUGUGCCUCCUUUGACCAAAUGUAGGAUAAUGCUCAAGAUUAUGAUAUGGAAGCGCUUACCGGAAACGAAUCUGAAGUUAUUGAAAUGGUAAGUGAAGGUCUCUCCCUCUUUGGUCUCUCCCCCUGUCUGUGUUCAUACUUAUAUUGUGGCAGCUGGUCCAUUAACAACUUCAGUUGCAUCUUAAUGAUAGGAUUUAAUGCUGGGGAUAGCUGAUCUGCAUACUCCUGAGGCGGUCAGUGCUGCUGAAUCUGCAAUCGCUGGUAAUCAGCCAGCGAUUCCUUUGCCUGCAAGCAGUAGUGAAACAGAAACUGAAGAUAGUAGUGAUGACAGUGAUGAUGACGUCGAGGAUAAUAAAACAUUGGAUCCCAUGAAUCUGAAAAGAUCCGAGACAAACAAGGAUGAUUCAUUGAGUGAAUCUGCAGGAAACAAGAAAUCUAAAAAGCGGCCAAAAAUUGUUGAGCUCUCAUGAGCAUGUUAUUUGUAUGAGUUAGCUUUGUUGUGUAUUAGUGAUUUGCGUGUUGUUGUUGUGUCUUGAUUAUGAAAAAGACAACAUCCUUGGUUGACUAUUUAAUUUUCAUAACCAGUUGAUAUAUAAAGUUUUGUUUUGUUUUCUUUUUCCUCUAUUAUCUUUGUGUAUUGAACACUGAGUGCACAAUUUCGAAAACAGGUAUCUUAUUUUGGUUUCUUUUUUUUUUAUAUGUGAGCCUAUUGAUGGAGAGGCCAUUGAGCUCGGAACAGCGCAAUUCAGAGGGGAGAAUUUGCAACGGGUUUUUUUGGUUUGCAUCAAGCUGAACAUAUAUAUCAGUGACACAAAUCAAUUUUGUCCAAAAAAUUAAGUUGAUUUUGAGUUUGAAUUUUUUUGACUCCAAUCCAACUGAGUAUAAUAAAAAUGGAUUUGAGGUCAAGAAAUUACAUGUGUGCAAAAAAAAAAGGGAAAAAACUUUACAAAUGGAUGUUUAACAUAUCACUGCUCAUGUGUCAGUGACUGGUGAAUUGACCCAGCCUUUUCACUGGCAAGAGAUUCUUGACAAAAUAUUUUUGGGAAGAAAUUAUUCUUUUGUUUGGUAAGCACCGGCUGGACACUUUUGGAGCUUUGUUUUGUUUGUAUCUGUAUCAUUUAUAAUUUUAUUUGAAUUUAAUCUUAGCUACCCCUAGUUUUGGCUCCCAUGGUUUUGAAAAUUUUGAGACUUAAAGGACUCCUAAUUCAGACCCCACAUAUUACCAAUCAAACAUUUGCUUGAAAAAUGCAGUGUUUUGACUUGGAGACUCAACAAUCCAAUACAAAUCAUUCGAUAACCUAAGUUGCACAAACUGUCUUAAUGAUGAUGAUUACAUAAUAUCUUCAAUCCUAGAGUCUUGAUCAAACAAUGAUUAUGCCUUCGUUUGUAAUCUUAUUCACCCUAUCACAUCCCUUCAGGAAGUUAAAAAAAAAUUAUAGGUCCAUAAUGUAUUUUGGCCAAUUGCUAAAAGCCAAGAUGUGUUUCAGCAGCUUAUUAUUAUAAGUUAUUACAACUCAAGCCUAUAAAAGGCGCCAAGUUCAAGUGACAAAUCAAAUCAAACACGCAAACACAAAAUCUAUACAGUUCAUAUUAUCUUACAAUUCAUCAAGUUGUGAAAAUGGUUGCAUUGGGAGCAGUAAUUGCUACUCUGUUAGGAUUUGCCUUGUUCUACGGUUUAAAAGGAAAGAAGAAGAGCAUAGAUUCUUCAAUGAAGAGCUCAGAAAACAGAACAUGCAAAUCAGAUUCAGGCAAAAGCACGGAUAUAAUCAUUGUUGGUGCUGGCGUUGCAGGCUCAGCUCUUGCUUACACUCUUGGCAAGGUGAUAAAAGGAAUCAAAACAUAUCAUUUGCAUUGCUGUCUGUUUCUGAGUAUGUUCUGUAAACUUUUUUAUCUGGGAAUUUUUUUUUUCAGGAUGGACGCCGCGUUCAUGUGAUUGAAAGAGACUUACGCCAGCCUGACAGAAUUGUUGGAGAGCUGCUGCAACCUGGUGGAUAUCUAAAGCUAGUAGAGUUGGGUCUAGAAGGCAAGCUCUGACAAUUUGAAUCUUGUUCUUCCAUUUUCAUCGGCAUAGAUCCAUCUUGUAACUUAUAAACAUGUGGCUGCAGAUUGCGUCAGUGACAUUGAUGCUCAGAAUGUGUACGGAUAUGCUCUUUACAAAGGUGGGAAAAGUACUAAACUUUCAUAUCCAUUGGGAAGUUUUAAUUCAAAUGUGGCUGGGAGAAGCUUUCACCAUGGGCGAUUUGUACAAAGAAUGAGAGAAAAGGCUGCUUCUCUUCCCAAGUACGGCUUUCUUUCGUUCAUAUUUGUUCAUUUUGAUUCAUUUCAUAAUUUGAAACAAUUUUUUUUUUAUAAAUUAUUGCAUGUUCUGUCCAAUCUUAUGUUUAGUGUAAGGAUGGAACAAGGAACAGUGACAUCUCUUCUUGAACGCAAUGGAACCAUCAAAGGAGUUGAAUACAAAACCAAGACUGGUGAAAAGCAUACGGCCUAUGCUCCCCUCACUGUAGUAUGCGAUGGUUGCUGUUCAAAUUUGCGCCGCAAUCUCUGCAAUCCUAAGGUGAAGAUGCUGUGUUAAUCUUGUCAAAUGAAGAUAGUAAAUCAUAGAUCUCGCCAAUUUCUUAUAAGGAUUUUUUUCCGAAAGUUACAAUUUAACUUGUGAUUAUAAUUCUGCAGGUUGAGAUCCCCUCUUGUUUCGUGGGCUUGGCCUUGGAGAAUUGUAAGCUUCCAUUUGCAAAUCAUGGGCACGUUGUUCUGGCAGAACCUUCACCUAUCUUGUUUUAUCCUAUCAGUAGCACCGAGAUUCGCUGUUUGGUUGAUAUUCCUGGCCAAAAAGUACCUUCCGUUUCCAACGGUGAAAUGGCUCAAUAUUUGAAAACUGUUAUCGCUCCCCAGGUACAUUUCUUUUGCAAGUAAUUUGUGUAGGAGUUACUUGAAAUAUGUUGUCCUUUCAAAACAUGAAUUGCUACUUCAUUUUAGACUAAUUGAGGAACUAAUGUUUCAGAUUCCCCAUGAGCUGCAAACUGCUUUUAUAUCAGCAACUGAAAAAGGAAACAUGAGAACAAUGCCAAAUAGAAGCAUGCCAGCAGCUCCAUAUCCAACUCCAGGUGCGCUUCUGAUGGGAGAUGCAUUUAACAUGAGGCAUCCUUUAACCGGAGGUGGAAUGACAGUAGCCUUAUCUGAUGUCAUUCUACUCAGAGAUCUCCUCAGACCCCUGCGUUCUUUAGACAAUGCAUAUUCCCUUUGCAAAAAUUUUGAAUCCUUUUACACACUGCGCAAGGUAAAUAUGCACCAUUCAUAAUGCUCUUUACUUGCAGCACACUCAAGCUGCUGCUAGCUUAAAAUAUUAGCGUCCAAUUCUGUGCUUGCAGCCCGUGGCAUCUACAAUAAACACAUUAGCAGGCGCAUUAUACAAAGUUUUCUCCGCAUCUUCAGAUCCUGCAAGGGAGGAAAUGCGGCAAGCAUGCUUUGAUUACUUGAGGCUUGGAGGUGUUUUCUCAAGUGGACCAAUAUCAAUACUCUCGGGGCUAAACCCCCGGCCAUUGGGCUUGGUUCUGCAUUUUUUUGCAGUGGCAGUUUAUGGCGUUGGACGCUUAUUGAUUCCAUUUCCAUCUCCCAAACGUUUGUGGAUUGGGGCUAGAUUGAUUUCUGUGAGUAUCUUCACUUCAUUUUGUCAUUCCAAGAUUUUAGCCGAUCAGUUUGGCCACAUGACGCGUGUGACAAGAGAAUAUUGCAUUUGUAUUGGUCAUGGAUUGAUAUCUAACACACGAUGUGUAAGAUAACUGGGCAUAUAGCUAAUGGUUAAAAGUCAUAAGAUCGGAUUCUAAAACUUUGUUUCAAAAUUCGCAUUGAAUCAUAUAUUUAUCUUUGGUUAAUUUUGUUUGUUAUUUUGCAGGAUGCUUCUGGAAUUAUUUUCCCCAUAAUAAAAGCUGAAGGAAUUACACAAAUGUUCUUCCCUGUUGCUGUGCCUGCAUACUACAGAGCUCCUCCUGUUAAGUGAGAAUAUGAAAACAAGAAAUUCAAGAAAAUUUUUGGGGAAGAAAUCUAGACAUGUUGCAAGUUCUUUAUUUAUUGAUGGGAAAAGGACAUUCAACCCCCCAACGUUUAGGAAAAGGGACAAAAAACCCAUCAACGUUUUAAAAAGGACUUAUAACCCCCUUUCUGUUAACAAACACCGUUUGUUUUAACAGUAAAUUUAUUUUUAAUUUUUAAUUACUAUUAUACCCUUAUAAUAAAUAAAUUAAUAUAUUAAUUUGAGAUAUAUCACAAUUAAUAAUUUUUUAAAAGCUUAAAAUUGAGAUACAAUUAUUUUUUUAUCUCUCACUAUAAGUGUCGCCGUCAAGUCAAUAUAGUGUAAUGGUUUUGAUUCCUCAAAGAAAAAGGGUUUAAUCAAAUUUCGUUUUAUUAGUAAUAAUCACAUAUGAAAGGUUUGAUCAUUAGAAAGGUAUAAUUUAUAGCAAAUCAUUUGGGCAAAAAUUUAAUUGUAUCUCAAUUUUUAGUUUUAAAAAAUUAUUAAUUGUGAUAUAUCUCAAAUUAAUAUAUUAAUUAAUUUAUUAUAAGGGUAUAAUAGUAAUUAAAAAUUAAAAAUAAAUUUACUGUUAAAACAAAUGGUGUUUGUUAACGGAAAGGAGGUUAUAAAUCCUUUUUGAAACGUUGAGGGGUUUUUUGUCCCUUUUCCUAAACGUUGGGGGGUUGAAUGUCCUUUUCCCUUUAUUGAUUAAUUUAUAUUGUUUUGGCAUAAUUAAACCAGUCUUUAAGCAGGGAGUUCCUCUCUCACCAAAAUUGGUGGCAGAGCAAGCAAAUCUGCUUGAAGCAAAUUGUAUCAGUAGAUAACAAUUUCAAAGAAUUAAACUUUAUUUUAUUAAUUUUAUUCCAAAAUUUGCGGGGUAGCAUAACAAGGGUCACAAACAUAUACAUAUACCUGCACAUACGUAAUUGCGCUUGUGGGUAUGUAAUAGUGCGAGCGGCCAUUAAAGCAUCUUGCCUAGGCAAUAGAUAUAUAGACGGAAAGAGAACAAGAUACAGAUAAAAAGAGAAAAUUCUAUGCAUCACUCAUUUAUUGCUGCGUAUGGAAGUGAAAUCCCAUGCAUUGGUGGAAAGUGAAAAUAGAUCACACUGCUUGAUUUUAUUGUUUUUAGAUAUCCGCCUACACAUAACUUAUUCAUGACAAAACACUAAGCCCUCCAAGCUCGUAGUUGCAUGGACGAUUUAGCAAAGUUUUAAUAUAUAUAAUUAGGAAAAAAUGACCGAAGCACGUCCUUUGUUUAAUGAAAUUAACUUUUGCCUUUAAAGCCCACUAGAAUCCCAUAUUUUUAUAACUGGCAACAUUAAUUAAACAGUCACCUUUGAAGGACAAUUCGAUUAUACAAUAAUAAAUCCGACUUAAACAGCUAGGGCCGCGUUUCUCGGUUAAUCAAGAUUAACCUAUUUUAUAGCAUCAUUAUUUUAUUUAUAAAACUUCUAAGGCAUGUGGGGUACUUAGGGCUCUAAAUAUUAUCAUUGUUGGGCGAAACGUAGAUGUUGAGUAUUACACCUCUAAUAGCUGCGGAAGUGGUUUGAAGUGCAGACACUACACACAAGUUGUGUGGUGCAAUUCUGUGCGUUUAGGUUGUGCUCGAAUUGCCACUUCGGCCUUGGCCGAAGUGGUGGGCUGCUGCCCUCACAAGGCUUGUGAGGGCAGCGGUUCUAGCCCCACAAAAGCAUUGUGGGGGCUAAAUAUUCUUAAUAUGUAAAAAUCAUUCUCCCUUGCGAAAUGCGAGUGGAGUAUAGACAUCCCUCCUCUGUGAGAGAUUAUUUGUCUGGGCAUGUACUUCACAGAAUUCAAUGUAAUAAUGUAAGUCUCAAUCAUGUAUAUCUGAUUGUAAUUAUCAGUGUAAUAUAUCUGCUAUAAUAGUAGUUGUUGUAAAUAUCUGUAUAAUGCAGUAAUCUGAUGUUUAAUCAAUAUUAAAAAAAAAAAAGGUUGUGCUUGAAUUAGGUGCAAAAACGGUGGAACCUUUGUCAUCUAUAGCUACGAUCCCCGAGGCAACUAUGAUAAUACAUAACCUUACUAAUUGAUCAAAACUCUCUAUCUUGUCAGGCAAAAUUAACUAUAAUCUUUUGCUUUCUAAAACCAACUAGAACCACUAUAUUGUUAAUAGACUCACUGAACUUACUUUAACGUUUAUACUUAUGCUUGAUUCUAUUAUUUUCUUUCUUUUAAAUAGCUUUGACGUAAAGGUAAAAAUUAUUGCAACCCAAUAAAUUAAAAUGAAGAUACAUCAAACAAAAUGAAGAAAAAAGAUUUCGUCAAUGGUACAAUGAAAUUGUUAGAGCAUACCUAAAAAUUGAAAUGAGGAUUUGUUCACCACUCAACCGGCAAUGAGUUGUUUUCUAAUUAAUUUGUAUUAAGCUAAAAAAUUGAAGAGAUUUAAUAAUCUAAAUAACUUUAAAAGAGAAAUGUACCGCUUAUUUAUUGCUGUAAAUGGAAGUGGGCUCCCGUACAACGUAAAAAAGAUCACGUAACUUGAUUUUAUUUUUUAUGGAUAUCUACCAACACACGACUAAAACAUUAUAAAACACAAAUCCCUCUAAUCUCGUACUUGCUUGGAGGAUUUAGGAAAGCUGUUUUUAUCAAUUAGAAAGGUCGUUCACCAGCAGCGUUGCCUGGAGGAUCAUAGUUGCAGAUGGCAAUGAAUUGAUGAUUAUUGUUACACCGCUCUUUAGCACAACCCAAACGCACAGAUUUGCGCCACACAACUUGAGUAAAGUGUCCGCCCAUCUGAUUAGGAGCACAACUAUUAGAGUUGUGGUCGUAAAAUUGUUUCUCAUCCACCCACAUCUUCAGGAUGUGAUCGACGGUAAAGUCGUAGUCAGCCCAUGCAAGGUUCUCGCCGUAAUGGCUAACUGAAUGUUCAAUUAUGCAGUCAACUUUAAGUUUUUGUGCAUAGCUAUGUGCAUGAUCCUCCAACGUCUUGUCCCAUGUCAUGCCUAUGCCAAUGCCAACAUUACGACGAGCUUCAUUAUGAAGGUGGACGUACCGUUGCUGAGUUGCAUUGUUGGCUGAGGAGAGAUGGAUUCUUGCAGCUAGGACUACGAGAUGGAAAAUUGCUAGUGAAUUAAUGGGUGACAUUACUUGUGGGGUCGAUUUAGCUUAUUUGAUAGAAUUAUAGGAAGGAGAGAAAGCUUGUUAGAUAGGUUAGGGAUGAAAAACUUUUGCUUAUGUACAAGUAGUUUAUAUAGGGAAUGGUGUGGGAAAUCAUUCAAGAAUCGAAUGGUCGAAAAUUUCUUCAAAAGUAAUUUCUAAUUAUGCAAUAUAUAUAUAAUAAAAAUAGCUCUACUUAAUUAAAUCUAAUUUUAAAAUAAUUAGAUUUUUGUUUGAAAUCUUAUAUAAACCAUAAAUGUCUAAGUACAACAUAUGAGAGCCUAAAUUUAUAUCAAAGUUGACACCACGUCGAAUAUUUAUUAAAGAAUAAAUCAUGUGCACAUAUGAUCGGUAUAACUGCGGUGACUUCCUAACUGUUGUUACAGACAAGGUAAUCGGGAGUGAGUUACUAACUGUGCAGGGCAUGAUACGGUAAUCCACUUUGCAUGUAUAUAUAUCAUGAUAGAUUAUCAUGGAUGGCAGUUGCAAAAGUGAUAAAUUAUUACAAUCCUACUAAAAAACUAAAAUUAAAUAGGCAUAUAAGUUCAUGAUCCUCAUGGAAACCCUUUUCUUGCAAGUUAAUUUUUGACAGUGGGUAUGAUGGACCCUCAAGCCAUAGAUUUUUUUUUUUCAUAUAAUACCAUUUUAAAAGUUUACAAUAUUAUAAAUUUCAUCCUCAAAAUUACACAUAUUUACAUUUUGGCCCUCAUUAAUAGUCAUUUCUUUAAAAGAGAAAACAGAAUAUGAGUAUUAUGUCUCUCAUAAAUUUAACCUUUAAAAUUUUCUUUAUUAUACUUUGACCCUAUUGGUUUUUCUUUAAAAUAAAUUAGCCACUGUAUCAAAGCUUGUGGUUCUGCUACUGGUUCUACCGAAAAACCAAAUUUUGCUCAAAGUUAUGAUUGGUAACCAAAUAAUCAAUUUAUUUAUUAAUUUAUGGUAAAAAUUUCUAAAUGUAUAAGCUCCGUGUGAAAAAUCCAUCUUAUCUUAUAGCCGAGAUUUGAAACCCCCCCGGGGGGCCCCAACCCCAAAAAAAAAAAAAACUACUUGGAAAGUCUUACCAGUAGCUCCACGGCAAGUUUCAUGUUCCUAAAUGUUUUGAUUUUUUUUUUUUUCCUCUCACAUUCACUCUCUACAUUUUCAUGCACAACAAAAUUAAAGAAUUUUCCCAUUCAAGGUCUAAUCAGGGAAAAUUAAUCUAUUAAUAUCUUGCAUCCAUGGUAGUUAGGUAAAUCAUAAUUUGACAAUCAAAAGAGAAAUUAUAUGUUCAAUUUAUUUUUUUAUUACUUGCGUAAAUGGAAGCGAACACAUAGCUUGAUUUUAUUGUUUUCGGAUAUCUGCCAACGGCAUGACUUAUUCAUGCAUAGCCCUCUGGUCUCAUAUAUAGAAGAAAGUUUCUUUAUGAUCCACUAGUAAGGACGUUGACCAAAAACAUUGCCUCGGGGAUCGUAGUUGCAAAUGACAAAGUUGAGAAUGCCAUUGUUAUUGCACCUCUCUUUAGCACAACCUAAACGCACAGAAUUGCGCCACACAACUUGAGUAUAGAUUGCGCAUUUCGUACCAUUAAGAGCACAAAUAUUAGAGUUGUAGUCGUAUAAUAUUAAUGGCUUCCCAUCCAUAUACAUCUUCACGAACUCGGCGGCGGUAAUCUCGCCCUGGCUGCUCCAUGCAAUUGUCUCGCUGUAUUUGCUAACUUGUGGUUUCUUUAAAUUGCAGUUACCCUUUAGUUUUUAUUCAUGUUUAUGUGAAUAAUCCGCCAAUUUGUAGUCCCAUGACAUCGGGCCAACGCCAACACUAGCACGAGCCUCGUUGUGAGCUUUGAGGUAGUCUUCAGGUUUAUUGUGGGCAGAGGAGAGAUGGAUUGUAGCUAGGGCCAAGAGGCAAAAAAUUGCUGGUGAAGUUCUUGGCAUUGUGGUGAUUACUGUUUUAAUUUCGCUUAUCCGAUGGAAAUGGGAAAGAAAGAGCUUAGGUAAUGAGUGGAACUGCUUGCUUGUGUAUAAGAGGUUUAUAUGGGGAAUGGUGUGAAAAUCAUUCAGGAAUUGUAUGGUCGAAAAUUUUUCAAACGAAAUUUCUAACAAUACAAGAUAAAUAAAACUUAGUGGCACUUUGGUAAGGGUAAAUUCCCCUUUAAUUUUCAGGGUUUAGGCUAAUUACUAAUUUAUUUUAUGUAUCUUUUAAUUAUAAUUAUUCAAAAUACUCAUUUCUUUUCUUUAAUAGGUGUUAAAUUAACUUCUUAAGCAUAUGUAAUAUUUUUGUCUAAUAUAAUUUGAAAUUCUAAUAAGUUAGACAUAUAACAGUUAGCAAAUAGAGAGAAGUGAGGUAGAUAUAUUUUAAUGAAAACAAAGUUAUAGGGAUCUUUUUGAUAAGUUUUAUAAAUAUAGGGACUAACUGAAUAAUUGACUCAAAUUAUAAGGAUUAAAGGAGCAUCUCAUCAAUCAAGCCCCUUGAGAUCACACAAAAAUUUUUUAUUAUAUGUAAUUUACCCGUAUUAGUUAUUAUUUACCAUAAGGGGAAGGAUAAUUAAGCCCCUUAAUAAUAAAUUACAUAAGUUUAUACAGCAAUUUUAGAUUUUGAGAUUAGAAUACUUUGAGUGGUUGAGAUUCAUAAAUAGAUUGAUGGCAUAUGUUAAAGAAUUAUAUGCAUCACUGAUUUAUUGCUGUAAAUGGAAGUGAUCUCGCCUGUAGUGUAAAAAUUAUCACACAACAUGUUUUAUUAUCUUCUUAUACCUACCAAUACAUGGCUUAUUCAUCAUAAAACACAAAUCCCUUUUUGCUCAUACUUGCUUAGAGGAUUUAGGUAAGUCCUUUAUAUAUAUGUAUUAAUUAGUAAGGCCGUUUACCAGCAACAUUGCCUGGAGGAUCAUAGCUGCAAAUGACGAACGUGCCACGAUUGUUGUUGCACUUCACUCUAGCACAACCUAAACGCACAGAAUUGCGCCACACAACUUGAGUAUAGUGUCUACACUCCCCACCAACACAAGUAUUUGAGUUGUAAUUGUACUUUGGUCUCUCAUCCACCCAGAGCUUCACGGCCGCCGUACCAGUGAGGUCACCGCUGCUCCAUGCUAAGUUCUCGCCGUAUGGUCCACCGGAGUGCACCAAUCUGCAGUCACCUUUACGUUGAUUGGCAUAGUUUUUAGCGUAAGCCGCUACCUUGUUGUCCCAUCUCAUCGGUCCAACGCGGACGCUAGCACGAGCUUCAUUGUGAGCUCUGAGAUAGUCUUGUUGUGAAUUUUGGGCAGAGGACAAUUGGGUUGUAACUAGGGCCACAAGACAUAAAAUUGCUAGUGAAAUGUUAGACAUUACGUUGUGACUUAAUUAAUGAGAAAGCUUAGCUGCUUAGGUUAUGAAUGAAAAAUUUUGCUCAUGUAUAGAGGUUUAUAUAAGGAAAUGAUGUGGAAAACUUAUUAGUUCAAGACUCGUAUAUGGUGGGAUAUUCAAAAGGAAAAAAUUGAAGAUAAAAUUUGCGGCGCCUUAACUAAUAAAAUUGACUGAGUCUAGUAUUUGGACAAAUUAAUUAAGCUCUUAUUGUUACUUUCUUAAUGAAUGAAUUUAUUAUCCCCGCAUGAUUACACGUAGUAGAUUUUCCACUUUUUCGUCUGGAAAAAUUGGAGCGUAUUCAGGACAAAUGCUUGUUAUUUAAAAACAAUUGUUAGACCAAAAAACCAACUAAAUCUUACUUAUCAAAUUAUUUAAUUUUUAAAUUAUUCUCUUAUAAUUAAGUACAAGACACUUUAUCUUUUACUUCUAAGAAUGCCAUAUCUUCUUCCUAAUUAAAAUUCCGAAACUGACGUGAACCGAUCCUAGUCAACACGGAAACUGAUUAAUAAACCAGAUUCAAAUGCCUUUAAAAUCAGCUUGUUCAAUUAUAUUCAAUAAAUAACUGACAUGAUUUUGGAAAAUGUCUAUUAUAUAUGGAUUUGGAUCCUUUCGUAACCUAAUUUUUUCCUUGAGCACGUGGCAUUUAGAAUUUAAAUUAUAAGGUUAAGAUUAAAUUGAUUACAAAUAAAUGAUCUCUUUAGGAAUACUCUAAUAGUCUAAUACUUCAGGAAAAUUAAUUAGACAUGGUCAUAAACCAGCAGAAUCACAUCUCUAGAUGGAAUAAUGCUAAUGGUUAGAAACUAACUUAAAAGACAACAACGUUAAUCUCAGAAUAUGUAUUAAUUUAUUAUUCUCCUGAGACGAUGAGGUAACGGUGGAUUGAAUUGCUUGUUGCGUCCGGAUUUGAAAAAAAAUAUGAAAUUAAAAAAAAUAAGAAAGGAAUGGAUGAGUGAUUAGACCCGUAAGUUAUAUUGAAUGGACUUUAUCCUUAUACAAGGCAUGAAUCAUUAAAAGAUAAAGAAGAUGAAUAGUGUUUUGACGAUUUUUCCUGAUAGAGGGAGAUUCUUUAGUACAAAUCACAUGAAACUUUUCAAUAAAUCACAUGAGAAUAAGUUUACGCAUAGUAAAAAUUAAUUAGGUAAAUGAAUAAAAACUGUGUGAGGAUUUUAAAAUUUUUCUUGAUAAAAUAUGUUAACUAGUAUUGGAUUAGAAAAUUAGAAUAUACAUUUCAUAAUCAUUAGUUGGAGAGAGUCUUUGUUGCUCCUAGAGCACUGAUACUUGUCUAUCCAUUACUUGGCACGUGUGUAUAAAUUUUUUUCAUGAUUGUUUAUAGUAUAGGCAUAACAAAAAGUGUAUGUUGUUCCUAGAGCACUGUGAUAUUUAUCUAUGAAUUACUUAUAAUGUGUUUAUCAAUAUUUUUAAUGAUUGGGUUAAAGUAGUGCUCUCUGGAGUACCUAAGUACCAAAGACUUUAACUUCUCCACUAGCUGUGAUACCAUAGUAAGUUUUCCAUUUUCGUAUUACGUGUAAAUUUUAACUAAUAUAUUAAUAAAAAUAAAUAAAUAAACUGUUUAUGUUAUGUAACUGACAAUGGGCAAAGUGUAUAGUGUUAACAUUUGUAAGAUAACGGGUGCAAAAUUAAACUGCUGAGGAAGGAGGUAACAUUUGUAAGAAGUCGGAAAAAUAAUUACAUAAAGUUGGCUAAAUUUCUAUCAAUCCCUUAUCGUUUCUGAAUUUUUUUGUCCCACCCCUGGUUUUGGUCUGGACUCUGGUAUCGAUUCAUUAAUUUGCAAGGGAAUGAAGCUGCUUAUAAGUACAUAUUUUUGAGGCGCAAAUUAAGGAAAAAUGCACAUAGUCUUAUAAUUAGUUACUCUAGUUUAUGAUUAAUUAGUUACUCUUCACUGGGAUCUAUGUAGGAAACAGUUUUUUUGUUCAAUGGAGUAAUAAAAAUAGAAAAAUUGAGAGGGCCAAGCCAGCAAUGAGGACGAAAUAGUGAUUUAAUAAACUCGAGUAUGCAAUAACAUAAAAAUCACAUAUACUAGAAGCUCUAGCAUGAGGUUAUUAUUUGUUGGCUUCAGACAAUGUUAUUUUGUUACUGAAAGAGAUGCAAGGCCUUUCCAUGAUUGGUCAAAAUACGAUUUUGGAUGCUUGAUUGGUCAAAAUACGACUGAUAUCUUUGCUUACUCGUUUAUAUGGGAUUAUUUUCGAUUCUUUUUGGGUUCAAAAUAUUUUGGUAAGUUUUGGCUGUACAGGCAUAGUAAUUCAAGUUCUUUUUUUUUUUUUUUUGGUUGAAGAAAGUUGACUCCAUGAAACGUUACUUUUCUGUGGGCCAAAUUGCGGAGUUCAAUUCUUGGUGGAUAAGGUAUUUUCUUCAGAAAAGCUUGGAAGAGAAUGAAUAGCUGCGAAGAAGUUUGAACAGGCUUCAGUUAAGCGAUCUUAUAAGCCGGCUUGUCAAGUUUUCCACUUGAAGUCAUAUCACUGAGAAUCUCAGCAACAUAUGCUCUCUUAUUGAAAUUACACAUUUGGAAACCAUGCUAGCAAGCAUAUACCCGAAGGGCAAGUAAUGUUGUGUACCAAUCGUGAGACAUUAAAUCCUUCAUCCAAAUAUUUAUCAAGGGAGUGAGUUCCCAAGAAAUGCCUUCCCGCCUUUAUGUGUUCUUUAGAUUUUGGUUUGCUUCUAAUCUUCUUGUUUGUUAUAGGUGUUGGGAAAAUAUGUCCUUUAAAAGUAUAUGUGUUUAUUUAAUUGUAAUAAAUAAUUUUUCUUAUUAAUAAAAUAAAUGAGGUAUUUUAUUCAAGUAUCUUAAUUGCAUUAAUAUUUUGAGUAAAUUCCAUUUAAUCAUAUUAUAUGUAUUUAUGUGACCACCAUAUGAAUUCACAGAAGACAUAAAUACAAGUUAUCUUAUGAUUAAAUAAAUUAAGUUCGCAGUUGAUAAAUAAAAUUAUUUAGGUAUAGACUGUAAUAAAUUCAUUAAAUGAUGUGUAUUAAUCAUGUAUGAAUUUAUUGAUGUAGUACGACUACAUUGAACAAGAUCACAUAUGAGAUUUAAUUAACUUUGUAAUAACUGUCAGACUUAUUAAAUCUCAUAGGUAUUGAUUUUACUGUAAUCUUAAUCUUGAGUUAGUUAUGAUUUCAUGAUUGUAAUUUUUAUUCUAUUUGAGUUACCAAUGGGCACGACACACACUUGUACUCAAAAUUACAUGAUAUCUUGGUGGGAGCAAUUAUGAGUAUUGGAGUUAUAGAUUGACAAUAUAGAAUUUUUACAACACAUUUCUUGAUGGGUUGUAAAGAACUUGAUCAUAUAAUUCUCUGGUCAGAGUGUGUCAACAUAUUUAGUAUGUUGAAAAUGAUAAUUAGAGAAAACCAGCAAGAAUCAAGGAAAAUAUGUAAUUAAAUUGAUUGGACAGUUGAGAUAUCGAUUUAAUUAACGAUGUGGUACAAAGGAUUAUGCAGUAAAGAAAUCAAUGUGAUAUGGGUUGAAUUAUUAUUCGAAAAUACUAUCCUAGAUAGCAUACAAUUAUAGAGGUCAAUUUCAAUGUUUUAGUGGAGUAUAUUUGGAAUUAAAUAAUUGUGUUAGUUUGAUUACAUGUCUAAUUAUUAUAGCCACUAUUGUAUGUACCCAUCUGAUCCCCAGGUUAGCUCAUUUAAUUAACUGCACCGCUAUUGGAUUAAUAAACAAGAUAACUAGUUAUUUAGGUUAAAAACUUAAAUAUAUUAUUUAGUGGAAAACUCUAUUUAAUAUGCUUGUGUGUAAGGGGUCUUGUGUUAUUUUACAAUAUGAGCCCCUAUAACACAAGACAAGUGUAUCAUCACUUUUGGUUUUAUUGUUUUUUAAUUUAAAUCAAAUGUGAUUUAAUAUAAUUAAAAUUAAUAAAUAUGGAGUCUAGGAUUUUCACCAAAUAUAGAUAUAAAAAUACUUAUUUUCUCUAAAAGAAGUAAGGAGCCACGUUAUACAGAUCAGAGAAAAAAAAUUUCUCUCUCUAAUUUUGAGAGAAAUAUUGCUAGUUGCUUUUUAAUGGCGAUAAAGGCGCCCAUACGUCAAGUGCAGAUUAAUCUUGAGUCAUAACCUAGAAGAUCAUUGGUGACUGAUUGUGUUCUAAUAAGAUUGGUGGUGACGGAUCGUGAUCUAACAUAACUGGUGGUGACAAAUUGUGAUCUGGGAGCCUAGAUUAAUUUAGCGAAAAAGCAAAAUCGGACUGUCAAUAUAUGAUUUUCUAGAUUAUGAAUUUCUAUAUAUUGUAUGAGUUUGGUCCUAAAAGUUUUUAUAAAAAUUUAAAAAAUUAAUUUUUCUCCAACAAUAGGGGUAUGCUAAGUUUGUUAGUACGCCCAUACCCAUAUUUUUUUUAUAAUUAUAUGACUACUAAUUAUUAUUAUUUUUCAUUUUAAUGGUAAAAAUUCAUCAGAGAAACCAUAUCUCGAUGUAAUUUGUAAUUCUAAGUUUCAUCUUCUGUGUGUUUUUGCUUGGAAACGGGGUCGGUUGAGCCUUUGAGGGCUCUGGAUCUUGGGCCACUGUAGAACUUGACGAGUUGAGUUGAGUUGUCUUAAGUUGUCUGGAAGAUCAUGUCAAAAAAAAAAAAAAGUUGUCUGGAAGAUGGGUUAGGCUUUCAAAUGUGUUUUAGCAAGCAGUUCUAAUGGAGUGAAAUGAACUUCAACACGCUAUAUAGUAUACUUUUUCAAUUAGCCUACGCUCUCUCUCCGAAGAACAGCUUAGGCAUUUUCUUUCCUUCGUCUUACAAACAAAAAAGAACGGAUCGGGUCCAACAAUAACUAUUUUGUUGUACCCAUCGCAAUCGAGGGACAACGACAAUACAUACACUCAAGUCAAAAAAAGAAGGGGCCAAUAAAAUCAAUUUUCUUAAUUCUUUACUUGAAAAGGUCAAAAGAAGACGACAGGCUAGCUAGCUAGCUAGUCGCAAAAUUCAUACACUCAAGACAACGACAAUACAUACACUCAAGUCAAAAAAAAGAAGGGCCAAAUAAAAUCGAUUUUCUUAAUUCUUUACUUGAAAAUGUUAAAAGAAGACGACGGACAAGCUAGCUAGCUAGCAGGUCGCAAAAAUUCCGUUCAUUAAUGCAAUGGAUCACAAUCACAAUCACCAUCACAGGGUCUAUUAAAUUUUAAUUUGGGUCGUUGGUCAUACAUGAGUAACACGAGUUACGCGAUGGCUUUGAGACUGUGGCUGACUGUUUUUUUUUAUUUUUUUAUUUUUUUUGUACAGGUUAGUUAGCUUAUCUUGAGUUUUCUCCAUAAGAAGGAUCAAUGAGAGAGCUUUACUCUGUAUACUACUGCUAAACUCAAUAGCAUUUCCCACUUCCCAGUCUCAUAAUUGUAAAAAUAAACAACAACAACAAUUGCCCGCUUACUUCAGUCUGUGAUGUUGAGGCCCUUUUUCUUGCUAAUAUUUCUGCUUAAUUUGGCAGCAUCAGCACUCACUGCUGUUGAGUAUACCAAAAAUGACUUCCCACCUGGCUUCAUUUUUGGUUCUGGCACUUCGGCUUAUCAGGUCCACAACUAAUUCUAACUUCUUCUACUCAGCUAUCUGAUCCGUUUCAGUUUACACUUUUAGUUUGUUGAUUAGAGGGGAAGGAAGGGAACAAAAAAAAAAAGACACAUCAGAUUCUUAUGAUAUGUAACGUGUAAUAUAGGUAGAAGGGGCAGUAAAUGAAGAUGGAAGGACGCCCAGCAUUUGGGAUAAUUUUGCACAUGCCGGUCAGUUUUGUUCUUUCAGAUUAAAUAUGAGUUUUGCCGAACCCCUUAGUUUAUCAUCACUCCUUGUUAUGUUCAUGAUUGUAUAUGCUGAGGUUGGCUGUUGAGUACAUAAAGGCACCAAGUCAGCCAUGCUACUGUUUCCGCCCCGGCAUGGACCAUUUCAGCUAAGCGGUACGAGCAGAACACGGGGGCAAACAUGAGCCGAUCAGAGAUGGUGCAACCAGGGGAACAUACCGACCAGAAGUAUAUGCCGAGCCAAUACUCAUCCCCAGGAAAGCGGGAACACGAUCCCACAAGAUCGCGGUAGUUGCGCUUCUCCCAGAACGGUUGAAGGACACACGAGAUCCACGUUUGCCCACAAUAUAACAGUUAGAGCUCCAUGAGGGGCUACCACCACCCGAAAAAGGAGGGAUAAGGGGCAAACGGAAAACGUGGGACAAAGGGCGGCUAUAAAAGAGAAAGACAUCGAAGAAGAAGGGGACAGAAAAAUUGAGAGAGGGAAAACGCUGCCAAAUUGCAACCAGAUUAAUUCCUUGCAGAUUUUGAACAAACUUCGUGAAUCCAAAUUAUAUUGUUUUCCCGUAAACACCUUGUACUAACUUAGGCAUCAGAGGGUUUACGCCGGCAAAACCACCGGCGUCUCUGAUCCAUUUUUAGUGAACGCAGGUCUAGUGAGAGAAAGGAGGGUGGUCCCGGCCUUAGUGGUUCGAGCAACAGUCGAUAACUUAAGCGUUGGUGAAAGGAUCUGGUCGGUCUAAGGACGAGCAGAUUUCAGCAUCAACAUUUUGGCGCCGUCUGUGGGGAGCUGAGUAAAAAGCUACCACCAAAUUAGUAAGUACCGGAGAAGCAGCGAGCAAUUGGAUAUGGAUGUGUCAAGAAAUGAUACUUUAAGGGAGGACAAUGAAACGGUGGAGACAAUUACUCUCCGGGAGAUUGCAAAUGAAGCCCGAGAGAGGAUGAUGCAAGAUAGACUGGAGCGGAUGGAGAAACAAAUGGAGACUCUCGCGGCCGUAUUGUUUGAGCUGAGGGACGAGCGGAGAAGGGAUUGUGAAACCCCCGUGGGAAGAGAUGGAAUUGGAGCAGAACCCAGCCUCCGGGGGCGUAGGGUCGGGGAAAUCCCUCCGCCCGCAGACCAACCUAACGGAGUGCAUCCCCACCGAAGUACUGGUCGGGUCCCAGGGGAAUACGUAGAUGGAGGGAGAGACCAAACUCGCCCCGGACAGGUACUAGAAAUAAAUGGCCGAGGGGCCAGUGUUGAUGAGGGAGAGCUCAGACAGCGGUUGCAGAACGUCGAGCAGGAGCGUGAUCAGAUAGCUGCACGUGAUCCUGAUCGUGCUGUAGAAUUGGAGGGGGAGGUGCGCAGAUUGGCGCAUGUGAUAGAGGAGAUGCAGGGCAAGAGGAAACCCCCGAGCUGGAGGAUAAUGCUAGAUGAAGAAUCCCCGUUAUCCACUGAGAUCAUGAGUACCAUAAUCCCAAGGGAUUUCCGCUUCCCCGACCUCAAAUACUCCGGGCGAAGUGACCCGUUGGUGCACAUUGAGCGUUUCAACGACAUGACGGGUGUGCAGGGGUUGACACCAGCUCAAAGGUGCAGGGUGUUCCCGUUGACACUAGAGGGACGAGCCCGAGAGUGGUACCGCAAGCUUCCCCGAGGAGGAAUUAAGGGUUAUGAGCAGAUGUGCCUGGAGUUGGCCGAACAGUUCCGAGGGGCAGUGGCCCCAGAGGAUGACAUGAUGGAAUUGAUGGGGAUGAAGCAGGAGGAGCAUGAAUCCCUUCGAGAUUUUGUAAAACGAUAUCACCGAGCCGUGCUGGAUCUGGGGGCUUUUAACCACCCACAGGCGUUGAGGGGAUUAAAAGAAGGUGUGAGAAUCGGCCGAUUGUGGUAUAACUUAAGAAGCCCCCUCGUACAGAAUUACUCGUCGGGAUAUGAGCAGGCGAGACGAAAUAUAGAAAUCGAAGAUGAGAAAUCGGCAAGAAUUAAAAGUGAACAGCUGGAAGAGCUGAGACGGAAGGAACGGAGAGCCCCGAAAGAGUGCGGGUCGGGAAAGCGAACGGGAGAAUCUUCAGUGAUGGGCGGAAUAUCAGCUCGUUCCCGCCCAUACCCCAUAGCUCCGAGAGCACAACAGUUCCAACACAGCUGGGCUCAACCUUCGCGCCUCCCGAUCCCAGAACGGCAACGAGAAUUCAGGCAGAUGACUGCCCACCCUUACCAGAGCAGUCCCAGAGGAUUAGGUGCAACUAAUUACAGGUCUGGACGACCCGAACAGAUACCGGCUAUGCCGGCCCGAGGUAACAUUCAUGAUAGCCGAGCAGUGCAGCUAGUAGACCAGAGCUUGGCCUAUAAGCAAUACACUCCAUUAAAGAUCUCCAUGGAGGAAUUGUAUGAGAGGAUCGAAGGACGAGGCCUGCUGUACCCUCCAGCCCAAAUAACAAAACCGACUCACCGACGGGACAAGAGCCGAUUCUGCAAGUUCCACGACACUCACGGUCAUACUAUCAGCCAAUGUCGUGACCUGAAGAUUCAGGUGGAGGAUUUAGUGAGGAACCGAUACUUGGACGAGUAUGUAGACGGAGUGUCCCCUGUCAUGGAAUCACAGUACACACGGGAUGAAGGAGUCGAGAGGGAUUUGGAACGUGAACAGCCGACCAUCCGUGUGAUAGCAGGAGGGCCAACAUUGGCCGGGGAUUCAAACAGAGCACGGAAGAACUAUGAGAGAUAUGCCAUGACCGGCAGAGAGGUGCUUCUAAAUUUGCCAGCAGCCAAGAAGGCAAGAGUGCGGCAAGUUCCCAUCAUGUGGACGGAGGAUGAUGAAGAGGGCAUUUUGUAUCCUCAUGAGGAUGCACUGGUGAUUAAAGCAUUGGUUGCUAGCACAGAAUUGAGGCGAAUACUGGUGGAUACGGGCAGCUCAGUCGAUAUUCUAUUUAAGUCGGCCCUAGAUGAUAUGGGGAUUUCAGAUUUAAAGCUGGAGCGGACAAACACAUCAUUAAAGGGAUUUGGAGGUGGACGAUUAACUCCCAUGGGGGUCAUUGAACUCCCAAUUACUGUGGGGACAAAGCCCUUUGAAAGAACGAUGAUGCUGGACUUUGUCGUGGUAGAGGAAAGAAGUCCUUACCAGAUGAUAUUGGGGAGACCCUUCAUGAGAAUAAGCCAAUGUGUAAUGUCCACGCAUUAUCUGGCGUUGAAAUACAGAAUAAAUGGAGUUGUGGGUGUAGUAAAGGGCGACCAGAGAAUGGCAAGGAGCUGCUAUGCUACAGAGGCCAAGGAAACGCUGCAGGUUACCUCUCUAGAUAACCGAGGAGAUUCAAGAAAUGGUCGCCAGGAACCUGUUGAGAAGCUGGAGGAAGUUGUUGUAAGCAGGAGUGACCCUAGCAGAGUUGUUAAGGUCGGAUCAGAAUUGGGCGAAGCAAUAAAGGCCGAGCUGGUGAAGUGUCUACAGUCCCAUGCAGACAUAUUUGCCUGGUCUCAUGAGGAUAUGCCAGGUAUUGACCGCGGGAUAGCUUGUCACAAGCUGGCGGUUAAGAAAGGGGCAAGGCCAGUGAGGCAGAAAAGGAGGUGCUUUAACCAUGAAAGGUACGAGGCCAUAAAUGCCGAGGUGGAAAAGCUGCUGAAAGCAGGAUUUAUAAGGGAAGCCAAGUACCCGGAGUGGAUUUCCAAUGUGGUACUGGUAAAGAAGGCCAAUGGGAAAUGGAGAAUGUGUGUAGACUUCACGGACCUCAAUAAGGCAUGCCCGAAGGACAGCUUUCCCCUACCAAGAAUAGAUCAGCUGGUGGACUCAACCGCGAGUCAUAGUCUGCUCAGUUUCAUAGAUGCCUUCUCCGGAUACAACCAGAUACCCAUGAACGAGCAGGAUGAGGAAAGCACCACCUUUAUAACUAACAUGGGUGUGUUUUGUUACAGGGUGAUGCCUUUUGGCUUGAAAAAUGCAGGAGCUACCUAUCAAAGGUUAGUGAACAAGGUCUUCAAACCAUUGAUCGGUCACACCAUGGAAGUAUAUGUGGACGAUAUGAUCACCAAGUCGAGUGGACGAUAUGAUCACCAAGUCGAGGGAACCGAGAGAUCAUGUGAAGCACCUGGAGGAGACUUUCGAAUUGCAGAAAUGUGCAUUUGGGGUCGGCUCGGGCAAAUUUUUGGGGUACCUGGUGAGCCAUCGGGGAAUUGAAGCCAACCCAGAAAAAAUACGGGCGGUAAUAGAAAUGAGGUCCCCACGAACAGUUAAGGAGGUGCAGAGCCUUACGGGGAAGUUGGCAGCGUUGAACCGAUUCAUUUCGCGAGCCACUGAUAAGUGCCACCCUUUCUUUCAAGUCAUAAAGAAAGGGAAGAAGAUGGAAUGGACACCGGAAUACGAGGGGGCAUUUGGACAGCUGAAGGAAUACCUAGCCCGCGCCCCGCUACUGUCAACUCCGAGAGAGGGUGAUCAGCUGCUCUUGUACUUGGCAAUCUCUAAGCAGGCUACCAGCUCGGUCUUAGUCAGAGAAGAAGAGGGAAGCAACACCCGGUAUACUACACAAGCAAGGCCCUGGUGGACGCAGAAACCAGAUAUCCGCUAAUGGAGAAGUGGGCGCUGGCUUUGAUAACGGCAGCACGCAAACUCCGACCAUACUUCCAAGCCCACCAGAUCGUUGUGAUGACUGACCAGCCACUUCGGCAAGUGCUUCAAAAACCAGAUGCGUCUGGUCGGUUAGUAAAAUGGUCCGUGGAGCUGAGCGAAUUUGACCUGUCCUACAGGCCCCGAGGAGCAAUCAAGGCCCAAGCCCUGGUAGAUUUCAUGGUGGACCGUGUUGAACCAGGGGAAGAGGUCCAAGAGAAACAACCAGCAGAGCAAGAGGAUUCAAAAUGGAUAUGGCUGGUAAUGGUUGACGGAUCAUGUAGUGAGCAAGGAUCCGGAGCAGGAGUUGUAAUACGGAGCCCAGAGGGAACCGAGAUAACAUAUGCGGUGAAGUUCGAAUUUCAGCUCACAAACAACCAAGCUGAAUAUGAGGCAUUUCUCACCGGGCUCGGACUUGCACACGCUCUAAGAGCAGAGAGGGUAGAAAUCAGAGCAGAUUCCCAGCUGUUGUGUAAUCAGCUCAAUGAUCAGUUCCAAGCAAGGGGAGAGAAGAUGGGUCUUUAUUUAAAGAAGGCCAAACAGAUGGUUAGGCUUUUCCAAGCAGUGGAGGUAAAACAGAUAUCCCGGAAUGAGAAUUUCCGAGCCGAUAUGCUGGCUAGGAUGGCAGCCGUUGCAGAUCCCAAAUUACCGAAGUCAGUUCCACUAGAGGUAAGGACCUCACCAAGUAUUGAGGAAGAAGCAGAGGUGAUGAGAGUAAGUAUUGGAGAAUCCUGGAUGGACCUGAUUCGCGCAUAUGUCCGCGAUGGAGUUUUACCAGAGGACAAAAGGCAAGCAAGAAAAUUAAAAUGCCGAGCAGCAAGGUAUACGCUACUGGAUGGAGUGCUGUACCGCCGAGGGUUCACCUUGCCCCUUUUGAGAUGUUUGGAUAACGAGGAGGCGGAUUAUGUGCUGAGAGAGAUUCAUGAGGGAAUAUGCGGCAAUCACUCGGGAGCAAGAACUUUAGCCUUCAAGGCACUCCGGCAAGGAUACUUCUGGCCAACCAUGCACCAGGAUGCCAAAAGGAUGGCCAAGAAUUGUAAAACAUGCCAAAGCUUCUCCGAGGUUCCUGCACAACCACCGGAGAAACUGACGGCUAUGACAUCCCCAUGGCCUUUCGCUCAAUGGGGAAUCGACUUGAUUGGUCCAUUACCUAAGGGACGAGGAGCGGCGACACAUGCAAUCGUGGCAAUAGACUACUUCACCAAGUUGGUGGAAGUAGGAGUCCUCAGCCAGAUCACAGAGAGGAAGACAACAGAUUUUAUUUGGAAAAACAUCAUCUGCAGAUAUGGGAUCCCCUACGCCAUCAUCACAGACAAUGGGAGGCAAUUUGACAACGGCAACUUCAGGAAAUUUUGCCGAAACCUGGCGGUGGACCUGAAGUUCUGCACCCCCGCACACCCCCAGGCAAACGGGCAAGUGGAAGCAGCCAACAAGGUGAUAAAGAAGCUCCUAAAGACUAGAUUGGGGGAGAAGAAGGGAGCUUGGGUUGACGAGCUACCAGGGGUACUGUGGGCCUACAGGACAACUCACAAAACCGCCACAUGAGAAACACCGUUCGCUUUAGCUUUUGGUCAUGAGGCGGUAAUCCCAGCAGAGAUUGGAGUGGGGACACAUAGAACGGAACAUUUCGUUGAGGAGCAAAAUGAUGAGCAGAUCUGCUUAAGCCUAGACCUGCUGGAGGAGAAAAGGGAAGGGGCCUCGCAGAAAGUGGCCCAAUGUCAGCAAAGGGUCAUGCGUUAUUACAACAAGAAUGUACGCGUGAGGCAGUUCCGAGCAGGAGAUUGGGUACUUAGGAAGGUGAACCAGAACAUCAGGAAUCCUAACCAUGGCGCUCUUGGCCCAAAGUGGGAAGGCCCAUACCGAGUGAUAUGAGCCACUGGACCAGGAGCAUAUAAAUUAGCGUGCCAAGACGGACGAGACGUGAAGAGGUCAUGGAACGCCGAACACCUGAAGAAGUAUUUCCAGUAAGCAAAAUGCUCUAUUAAAUCCUCACUCCGGCAAGUUAUUUCUGUUACAAUGCCUGAUGGCCUGUCGCACAUGCAUAUAUUCUAUGUUUUUGUAAUACAUUCAAAUUUCAAUAAAGAUGAAUUCAGCAUGAAAUCCCCCUGCUAGCAAGAUCAAUAAAAAUUUCACUAAGACAAGUGCCACUUCUGCUCGGUCAACGAAGACCAGCAGCUAAAUUCUCUAAAUUUCACUAAGGCAAGAGCCUACUUCUGCUCGGUCAACGAAGACCAGCAGCUAAAUUCUCGAAAGUUCACUAAGGCAAAUCAGUGCCUAUUUCUGCUCGGUCAACGAAUGACCAGCAGCUAAAGCUACGAACACUCUCCUAGGGCAAGUGCCUACUUCUGCUCGGUCAACGAAGACCAGCAGCUAAAUUCUCGAAAGUUCACUAAGGCAAAUCAGUGCCUACUUCUGCUCGGUCAACGAAUGACCAGCAGCUAAAGUUACGAACACUCUCCUAGGGCAAGUGCCUACUUCUGCUCGGUCAACAAAGACCAGUAGCUAAAUUCUCGAAAGUUCACUAAGGCAAAUCAGUGCCUACUUCUGCUCGGUCAACGAAUGACCAGCAGCUAAAGCUACGAACACUCUCCUAAGGCAAGUGCCUACUUCUGCUCGGUCAACGAAGACCAGCAGCUAAAACUUCGAAAAUUCUACUAAGGCAACAAAGUGCCUGUUUCUGCUCGGUCAAUGAAAGACCAGCAGCUAAUUCUACGAGAAGUUUACUAAGGCAAGUAAAUACCUACACCUACUCGGUCCACUAAAGAACCAGCAGGCAAGAUCAGAUAAGUUGUGCAAUUAUUUUGCAGAAACAGUCUAUGAGUAGACAUUAGACAAGGGAGCCAAUAAAGAGCAUCUGAAAAUUUAUUAAUGUUCAGUUGGUUACAAAACUAAUGAAGAUCUAAAGUCUAUACAAAAAUAGACCUAAGGAUUAGGAGGGUCAACGGCUUCAGCAGGUGAAGGAUCAGUUGUCCCAGGAGGUGAAGGAUCAGCAAUACUGGGAGGAGGCGGCAUGGAUCCUUGUCCCGUUUCAAAAGCACGUCCCCCAGCUCCCCCCUCCUGUACCUCAUAUAAAGGAGCCUCCACCUGAUUCUGCUCACCUUGCUCCUUAUCUCCCUGGCCGACCCCAGCCAUGUACCUCUCCACUCCAGCCUCCAGCUUGCUCAUAUCCAGCUCGGGAUAUUCUUCCUUAAGCACAGACAUGAUGCACUUAUAGGAGAAGGCAACCCCAGAGUCAUACUCGGCAUCCAGCCGAUCGUCCACAUCAGCAGAUUUGCCUUUCUCCUCAGCCAGCUGCUCACCCAAGGAUUUGAUUUCCCCCUCAAGGGCAGCCCUCAGAGUAUCCCUUUCAAUUUGAGUAGCCUGAAGAUCAGAUCUCAGGUCACCCAACUCGCCCUCAAGCUUGGAGGAAGUGGACUCAGCAACAGCAACUUUCUCAUGAAGCUCCGUAAGCUGUUUGUUCAGCUCGGCCAGUUUCUCCUUGGAGCGGUCAACAGAUUCAACUUUCUUUUUCAACUCUUGGUUAUCAGUCUGGAGCUUCUUCUCAUGACGAGCGGACCCGAUCUUGUAGCACGAGACCAUUGUGGCCAGCCUGAAGGAGACUCUCUGAACAGAAGCGGCCAACUCGGAGAGGCUCAUGCUCUCGAUGUCCUUCACCAUCUUGGGCCUAACCGAUUUUUUAUAAUCCUUCUGAUAUGGGCUCAGGUAGUCACCUUAAUCCCGAGAUGGAAGAGGAGAAGAUAUGUCCCCAGACUGCAAGCUGACCUCAGGAUUCUUGUCGGAAGUUUUCUCCCCACCACUCUUACGAGAUGGAGGAGGGGGCAGAGCAGGAACAAGCGCCUUGAAAGGACCGACGCUGGGUUUCUUCGGAGGAGGAGGAGGGUUGCUGGAGCUACUCGAGUCCCGACCACGCUUCCUGCUCAUCGCGCUGAGGAUCUUGUUAUCCAUCCCGGCAGCUAUGUCCACUAAGCCCGAGCUGACCAAACUUGUUGGUGACAGGAGGUCUUGGCAGGUAGACGCGUUCAAUAGAGCCGUUUCCACCUGAAGCAAAGGCCGAUCUUCAAGCCCCCCGAUCAAACCCCACGACUCUGAAAUAGCACAGAAGGUUAAAGAACUCAAUAAGUAGCAAUCUAAUUAAGAAUACAUGCAAAAAUGAACGACCUGGGGUGACAAAAUGGGUGGGAAGAUAAAUGUCCCCACCAAGCGACCGAACCGCUGGACACCAGUUCCCUCCAGCAAAGAAGAAUUUAUUCUUCCAAUUUUUACAUGAAGAUGGAAACCCAGUGAUCGGUUUCCUCUUUGCGGAACUGGACAUGAAAUAGUACCAGCCUGCCUCCUUCGGGCUACUCCGCAGCUGGUACAGAUGCUUCACUUCAACAAGAGAAGGCUCCUCCGACCCGCACCUCUCCCACAACACAAACAUUACCGAGAGAACCCUCUACCCAUUUGGGUGUAGCUGACCUGGGGCCAGGUGCAUACCGCCCAGUAUCUUGGCAAAGUAGGAUUGAAGGGGCAGCCGAGCUCCUAGUCUGAAACUCUCCAAGUGCAUCGUCACAUACCCAUUCGGAGGACGACUAGGGACAUCAUCUUUUCCAGGAACUACAAGAAGAACCUCGUUGGGGAUGUUAUAGAGGUUCCUAAGUUUAAAUAGAUCAGUGGGGGUGGUAGCACAAGCCAUGAAAUCAAUAGGGUAGGAAUCAGCCUCCACCCUAUGGCCUAGGUUCCUUUUCUGAGCAGGUCUGCUCGGUCCAGAACUGCUCCCCUCACCAUUACCAACUCCUUCAGGGAUCCCAACCCCACCAAAGCUGUGGUUCUCACCACAGCCCGACGCAGGUCCACCUCUAUUCCCUACAAGCUCCAGUUCAGGGGAAGGAGAGAUAACCAAAGGGCGUGGGUAUUCAAGGGUAUCCCUGCCAUGGGGAGAACCUACACUACUGGAGGGGCCUAAGUAAUCAGUGGGUAUUGGCACAUUGAGGCCCGAGUCCCCUGAUUCUUCAUCACCCUCAUCAACAAGUAACUUUCUUUUCCGGUUUGACAUAUUGGAAUUUCAAAAGAACACCAAAACAAACCCAAGUGCACGGAUACAAAAAGGGGCAACACAGGACCCAAACAACAACAGCCAAAGAAAAGGUUAAAGGCUAUACCUGGAAUAGACUGACACUGAUAGCGCUGCCGCGACAAAGAAAACACCCAGCAAAUGGAUACUCCGGACGCUGGAAAUAGUGAGCAAAGUUCAAAGAAAUUUUGGUUAACGGCGGAGAAAAUGAAUAACAAGAUGAUGAUGACUCCAGUCUAGGGAUUUGAAACGAAAAGGGGGAAAUGGAAGCAUUUAAGUGAUGGGAUAUGCCAGCUCACCCCCCCAUAUAUCGAGGACGGAUAGCCCGUCGUUUCAAAUUUCAAAUACGAAGAGUCUGGAGAUGCCACGUCACCAACCGUUACAAGAGGCCAGGUUAGAUAUAAGCCCAGAUAUGCAAUGAACAUGUUCACUUAGGCCCAUGUUCAGGUCGGAGUCUCCCCAGAAGAGAAGCUCCCCGGCUGGUGAGAUUUAACCAUCAGUUUCUGCUCUUAACUCAUUUCACUCGCCAAACCAGAAACUGGGGGACUGGUGUUGAGUACAUAAAGGCACCAAGUCAGCCAUGCUACUGUUUCCGCCCCGGCACGGACCAUUUCAGCUAAACGGUACGAGCAGAACACGGGGGCAAACAUGAGCCGAUCAGAGAUGGUGCAACCAGGGGAACAUACCGACCAGAAGUAUAUGCCGAGCCAAUACUCAUCCCCAGGAAAGCGGGAACACGAUCCCACAAGAUCGCGGUAGUUGCGCUUCUCCCAGAACGGUUGAAGGACACACGAGAUCCACGUUUGCCCACAAUAUAACAGUUAGAGCUCCAUGAGGGGCUACCACCACCCGAAAAAGGAGGGAUAAGGGGCAAACGGAAAACGUGGGACAAAGGGCGGCUAUAAAAGAGAAAGACAUCGAAGAAGAAGGGGACAGAAAAAUUGAGAGAGGGAAAACGCUGCCAAAUUGCAACCAGAUUAAUUCCUUGCAGAUUUUGAACAAACUUCGUGAAUCCAAAUUAUAUUGUUUUCCCGUAAACACCUUGUGCUAACUUAGGCAUCGGAGGGUUUACGCCGGCAAAACCACCGGCGUCUCUGAUCCAUUUUUGGUGAACGCAGGUCUAGUGAGAGAAAGGAGGGUGGUCCCGGCCUUAGUGGUUCGAGCAACAGUCGAUAACUUAAGCGUUGGUGAAAGGAUCUGGUCGGUCUAAGGACGAGCAGAUUUCAGCAUCAACAUUGGCACUGAAAUUAAACGAGAGUUCAUGCUUGUUUAUGAGAUAUUAGAUAUCAAAGCUUCACCCAUAGUAAUUUUUCAUUGAUUUACUAUCACUGUAUUUAUCAAAAAAAUUUCUUCUAUCAGCUGUGUUGGGUUUUCUCUUCUAAAUUUUCAGGGAAUGUGCUUGGCAAUGGAGACAUAGCAUGUGAUAAGUAUCAUAAGUACAAGGUGGACACAUCAUGCCUUAAAUCAUUAUGAUUCUUCACAUAAAGCUCAAGUAAAAUUCAAUUACAGUUCAUCCUCAUUUUGUCUAUUGAAACUAAUUGAAAUGGUUAUACGACAAUAACCAACCAACAGCUGGUUGAUUUUGCUUGUUCAUGCAAAACAUUGCAUCUUGUGGCACAAUGAUACCUGUGCAACCCAUGUGCUUUUUUUUCAGGAAGAUGUGAAGCUCAUGGCAGACACAGGCCUAGAUGCCUAUAGACUUUCCAUCUCAUGGUCAAGACUAAUUCCAAGUAUGAUAAGAUACUCCUGGCUUUUAUGAACCUUAUAACAAUUAUGCAAUUUCUGAGUCGUUCUCACAGAUUAUCCUCAUUUUCUUCUAUCUUUCUUGUUCAGAUGGAAGAGGACCUGUCAAUCCAAAAGGUUUACAGUACUACAACAACCUCAUAAAUGAGCUAAUCCGCUAUGGUCGGUUCCAGUUUUUCAUUACUACUUAUAGAAACUCAAUUUCUUUGCAUAUAUUUAAGGAAAGUACUUCCACUAUCUCCAAUGUACCACUUUUGUUUGAAUCAAUCAGGAAUCCAACCGCAUGUCACAUUACACCAUUUUGAUCUUCCUCAGGCACUGGAAGAUGAGUAUGGCGGAUGGAUCAAUCGAAUGAUUGUGUAUAUUUCUCAGUUCCUUGUGGUUUUAGCUUACCCUUUUGUGCUUGGUUAAAUAAGCAAAUCAAUAAAAGUGUUGAUGACUGUGUCUAUAUUUUCUCCAUUUUAAAUGCAGGAAAGACUUCACAGCUUAUGCAGAUGUAUGCUUCAGAGAGUUCGGCGAUAGGGUUUCAUAUUGGACCACUGUGAAUGAGCCAAAUGGAUUUGCAAUGGUAGGUUAUGACUUCGGAAUUGCACCACCUAAACGAUGUUCUUCUUCAUUCAACAACUGCUCUAGAGGCAAUUCUUCCACUGAGCCAUACAUGGCAGUUCAUCAUCUCUUAUUGGCACAUGCAUCUGUUGCAAGAUUGUAUAAAAAGAAUUACCAGGUAAUAUCCAAAAAAAUUUCAUUCAUGUGCUUCAGUAUUUCAUCUAGUGUGUGACUUAGUCAAUCAUUUAUCCUUUCAGUUAUUUAUAUUGAGUUCAACAAGAAGUAUUUGGCUUCAGCAUCAAGCAUUUAUAGUCUUUCUUGUUAGAAUAGAAAUUUUGUGUCCGCACAUUACUUCCUUAGAUGUCAAUUUUUGCCAUUGCAAUAUCCCAUAUCGCUUUGAGUGUGUGAGAGAAGCCUAAUACUUAUAGAAGGUGAUCCACAUUUAUAAAAGAUUGUAUAAAAAGAUCCACACUUUACUUAUAGGCACCCUGAGAAUGAAUCCGUAAGGGUUCAGUAUCAAAAUGGAUUAUAUCUUGUCAAAUCUAGGUUGAGUCGUAAAUGAUGGGCAGAACCAUUCUUGAUUAGAAGUGUGGGAACUGAGUUUCUAAGCUUGGUAGGUUGUACGUGCUUGGUUAUAGGAGAAGUCUAGUGCUUAUAAAGGGUGAUCCAAACCUUAAUUGACAAGACACAUUUUGAGUGUAUAAGCAUCCUGAAAAUAAAUUCGUGACAGUUUAGGUCCAAUGCUAACAAUUUAUUGCCAGGUUUAGUUUUGGGUCAUGACAGUCAUGUCUAAAGAUAUUGGAAUAAUUGCAACGCAUGGUGAUGCAGGACAAGCAACAUGGCUAUAUAGGUCUAAGCAUCUUUUCAUUUGGGGUUUUUCCUCUUACAAACUCAGAGGAGGAUGCAAUUGCAACUCAAAGAUACUUUGAUUUCCUGAUUGGUUGGUACGAUAAGAAUCUAUAUGUCUUGAGCUCUCUGUUUGGCUCCUCUUCCAUAUAAUGUCACUUUUUCCAUUAACCUAAUUAUUUUAAAUUUCAGCUGUAGCUAAUAUUUAUAUUGCACUGAAUUUCAGGGUUGCAAAUCCGUUAGUGUACGGAGACUAUCCCAAAACAAUGAAACAAAAUGCAGGCUCAAGACUUCCAGCUUUCACUGAUCGUGAAUCCCAACAGAUUAAAGGUUCUGCUGACUUUAUUGGAGUGAUAAACUAUUGCAUGAUUUACAUCAAGGACAAUCCCAGCAGUCUGAAACAGGAACACAGAGACUGGAGUGCAGACACAGCGACAAUGGCUUUUUGUAUGUUCUCUACAUAUCAUUAGUCUUGCUUUGCUGAUAAAUGGUUGAAUUAUGCAUGAGUUGAUUCCUCUUUGACUCUAUCAAAGUUCAUCUAGUCAAACUCAUCCGUGGCUUAAUUUCAAUCUAGAACUUCCAUAUGGUGGUCCUUUUAUACUUACGAUCUUGUAACUGUGUAAACUCAUCAUAUAUACCAAGUUGACAAGUCAUUCUUUUUUAAAAAAAAAAAAUUGUCUGCCUAAUUGAGAAACUAAAACAAUUGAUUGAUUGUGGCAGUUGAACAAGAUACUGCUGCAUCAUCAAAUGAGGUGGGACUUUUAAGUACACAAUUAAAGUAUUUGUUUAAUCUACUUGAUUUAGUUCACUGCAUUCCUAAUUUUCUUUGUUUGACACAAUCUUCAAUACAGCCCUCAAGCCUGCAAAUAGUGCUGGAGUAUUUUAAGCGAGUCUAUGGCAAUCCUCCUAUUUAUGUUCAUGAAAAUGGUUCUCUCUUUCUCUCUCUUUCUUUCUCUUUCUCUAUCUAUUUAUCUAUCUAUCUGUUGAUUCGUGACGACUAACUACAGUAAGUAAACUUGCAUAUGCUGAUCUUUUUCUUGAACUGAUAAAGUAUUUAAAAAGGUAACAGAUGAAGAAUCAAAGGGCUGAAAUCCCUAAUCAUGCUGCCUGGUCUGCUACUUGAAAAAAAGAAAAAAGAAUCAUGCUUAUUUCUUUGAUAUUUCCAUAAAUCAUCUAAUUUGAGUAUGCAACAGCAUAUAGUGGUGGCUAAUUACACAUGGAAACAUACCCUACUAUAUUAUGCGUAAAGGGGGAAAAAAACAGAAAGAAAGACCGGCAGUAGCUAUUCUCGUGGUGGCAACUGUGGUUUUGUGUCAAAAGAUAAUUGUCGUCAGAUGCAACAUUAAUAUAAUAUAAUCAAUACUUGCUUCACUCGUUCUUAUUUUCUAAUUUGUUUUGUUUUAUCAUCAAAUGAUUCUUAUCAGGUCUGGCCACCCCACACCAUUCAUCGUUGGAAGAUAUAUCCAGGGUUAAAUAUUUGCACGCAUACAUUGGAAGUGUGCUUGAUGCUGUGAGGUAAUGCCUAUUUUAUGCCAAAGUAGACCCCUUGAAUGUCUUUUAGAUUUUUUUGAGGGCAAAAAAGAGCUCAUACGCAUUUGACUCAAAAUAUUUUAACAGAAAAUUAGUGUAUUAUGGAAUGGUUUUGACUGUUGGCAUCAUAUAAAUGUAGAGCUUUUACAAAGUCCAUCAUUUCACCUCCUUUCCAUUUUUCCUGAAAUGAAGUUAAGUGAUCUGUGUGUAUAAUCUAACUUCUUUACUGUUUGCUUUUUAUUCUUGGACAAAUGGAAGAAAUGGAUCAAAUACAAGAGGGUACUUUGUAUGGUCCUUCUUGGACGUGUUCGAGUUGUUGGAUGGCUAUGCAUCAAGCUACGGCCUGUACUAUGUUGACCGAGAUGAUCCGGAUUUGAAGAGAUA